GUGAUGAUUUGAUGCUAAUGUGA
RNAcentral lists this non-coding RNA (23 nucleotides) under Arabidopsis thaliana (thale cress). Lineage: Eukaryota; Viridiplantae; Streptophyta; Magnoliopsida; Brassicales; Brassicaceae. The record is from RNAcentral.